RNAcentral lists this long non-coding RNA (9557 nucleotides) under Brassica napus (rape). RNAcentral's name for it is "long non-coding RNA (BNAP_LNC004584)". The record is from RNAcentral. Lineage: Eukaryota; Viridiplantae; Streptophyta; Magnoliopsida; Brassicales; Brassicaceae.
GGUAAUUGGCCAGGAUUGUUUAAACGAUGGAUCUUUAAAAAGACAAAAGCAGAGUAGAAGACAAACAGAGAUUUUAAAAAGUUAAGUCUGACCUGAAAUAUAAUCAUAUUACAUAUGUUCACAUCAUCACAGUUUUUAUUUAUUCUCUUGUUGAUCCUUUGCUAUGUUUUCGUUUCUAUUAUUUCCUUGUUCUUAUUUUUUUUUGUCUUUUCAUCUCAUAUAUUGAUAGGUCAUUGAUAAGGGUUGUAUGCCAGAGAAACUGGGAAAUACAGCUUUGGAACAAUUCACAAAAUAAACUACAGAAACAAAGGUUAGUACUAUAUUAAAUUUUUAUUUUAUUCGAGAAAUCGUGAACUGAACUUGUAGAAUCAUCCUAGGAUUAUCGGCUUUAGGAUUGUACAAUUACUUAAAUGAUAAACUAUAUAAACUGACUUGUUUGUAGAUGAACGUACUUGAUCUUGCAUAUCUGUUGUUGGGUUGCUGAUUAACUGUUCUAUGUUUUGUUGAAUUUUAUUAGAUACAUGGCAAGUUUAAUUUUAGAUGGCAAACUGUUAUUUCUUCUUUGUCAAAACAUGAUGAUCAAUACAUGUUUGGUUUGAUUUCAAACCUCUUUAGUAAGAUAGAAUAAAAUAUUUUAGAUUGAGUCUUCCUAACCGAUAGAUUAAAGAAUUUAUUUAGUACAAAAUCGGAAAUGACUUUGAAAACUUUAAAGAAAAUGUAGUACAACAAAAAACACAACCAAAACACCAAUUUCAGUCUGCAAGUACUAAAACACAAAACAAAUUCGCAGCAAGACACAUCAGUCAUCUAUGGUUUCCAGAUUAGUAAAAACCUCUUUGAAAACAACAUUAGUAGUUUUAUUUUGCGGCUUCCCUUCUUUAUCCACAAUCAAGAUUUUCAAACCUUUCUUCGAAGUAACCCUUGAAAUAGCAACAUAUAGCUGGCCAUGAGAAAAAACUGGUCUAGGAAGGAAUAAUCCCACUUCAGACAAUGAUUGUCCUUGACUCUUGUUGAUGGUUAUUGCAAAAGCCACAGUUAAAGGCAAUUGUCUUCUGCGCAUCUUGAAAGGAAGUCUUUUAUCUGUAGGCUCGAUCAACAAUCUAGGAAUAUAAACGUCUUUACCAACCUUGUCACCAGUUAAGAUUCUAGCUUCCACCAUGAAAUCCAUAAGUUGUGUAAUUUCCAAUCUUGUUCCAUUCAUUAAACCUUCAUUAGGAUUAAUGUUCCUAAGCAACAUAACAGGACAACCAACCUUCAAUCUUAGACUAUGAUUUGGUAGCCCAGAAACUUUAAUACUGUUUAGAAAGUCGGAACUGAGGGCUUCAUUACUGACCGAGGCAGUAUCAGAUGGAUCUAUACUGUCAGAUGAGAUAUAAAUCAUUUCUUCACCUGAUGGGAAAUAACCAAAUUUUAUAAAAGAGUCAGUGUCAAUAAAUAUAACGAAAAUAUAUACAGUAAAAAAACACUUAAUUACCUUCGAGUUUAGAUAACAUAUGAUCAUUAAUCAUAUUUACAUCCUCAUUAGUUGGACAUAAGAUUGCUCUCUCUUUAAAAAACUUAGGAUCUUUCAUCCCUUUCAAUGAAUCAGUGUCUCCAUAAAUGGCCAGACUUAUAGUCUCAAUAGGAUCGUUAGGGUCCAUAAUUAGAAACUCUUCUGGAAUUUCAAUUAAUGCCUCCCCAUCAUUAGGCUCUGAUACUUUCCCAUCACCAACAGCCAAAAUCCACUCAGAAAAUUCUUUCAGAUCUUUUGCCUCAUCAUCUGUGAGAUUGUUUGAACACAGUCUCAUGUUCUUAGUAAGCUUCAGAACCUUGCAAUGUUCCCAGAGAUAUGAUGAGUUCAUGGAAGCCAGAACAAUCUCAGCCCUACAACCUCCUGUAAUAACAGGAAGUACUUGUCGAAAAUCACCUCCAAACACAAUUACUUUUCCACCAAAAGGCUUUUUAUCUGGAUUGUCCAUUAGAUCAUUUAAACUUCUGUCUAAGGAUUCAAAGCAAUGCCGGCUCAUCAUUGGUGCUUCAUCCCAGAUAAUUAGAGACGCUUCCUUUAUCAAAUUAGCUUUAUCUGAUCCGGGAGUCAGUGAACAUGUAGUGAAUUCAUCUGGAUUGAUGGGUAUGCUAAAACGGGAAUGAGCAGUUCUGCCACCUGGUAACAACAGGGAAGCAAUUCCGGAUGAUGCAGUAUUAAGAACUAUAUCUCCCUUGCACCUCAAAGCAGCUGAUAGAAGUUUCCAAAGAAAGGUUUUUCCUGUGCCACCAAACCCGUAAACAAAGAACAUUCCACCUCUAUCUUCAACAACAGCACUAAUGAUCUCAUCAUAGAUUUUUCUUUGCUCAUCAGUCAUCUUUGAAAAAUCUAUAUCAUGAGUGGCUUGCAAGUCUUCCAUAUCAUAACUUAGCUCAUCCAAUAUCAAGACAUUUUCAAUCGAUUUGGCAUUGGCAGGAAGCUUUGGCAUAGACUCAUAUAGUGAAAGUGAACUCCCAUUUCUUUUCAUAAGCUUCUCAAUCUCUAUUAGAGCAUACAACUUCUUGUCAUUGUCAGUCAAUUUAAGUCCUGCCAAUUCACGAAAAGAACUCUCAUGUGAAGCUGUAAAUUCUAAUAAAACAACAGUCUCACAUAAUAAAUAGCUGAUUAUUAGAACAAUCAACAAACAACAAUUUGACAAAAACGUAGAUACAAUAGGGGAAUUUGAUAGAAUAAGUUAGUAGUGUACCAGGCCUAUUGAAAUGAUGUCUGCGAUUAUACUCGAUAUCUUCAGAUAAGAGUUCCCAAGUUUUUUCCCAAACCACCUCUGGUUGAGAAAGACUGUUCGAGAGAAGCAUUAGAACAAAUAGAUCACGAACAACUGCUGCAGAACUAUCAUAGCUACGCCUUAUCAAAUCAUCUAUGUACUCCUGGUCAUCAUCCAAUAUUCCCCGAGCAUAACAUGUUUCUUUAUACCCCUCAUAAACCACAUCAUUAUAUGUUUUAAUAUCCUGAUAGCUAGUAGGACCUUUGACAUAGUUCAACAAAACUCUCAAAUAAUAAGAGCUUUCUUGCUUUCUUGGGGCAUAAUUAAUUCUUCCAACACUGAAACCUUGUUUCCUUCUAUUGAACUUCUUCUGACUCUUCGAAUAUGUAUAAUAGUUGGGAAUCUGAAUAUAUGUAAGAGUCCGAGCAAACGCAUCAACCUUACACAGCUCAAACCAUGCCAAGAACAUUGUGUUUUCGAUGAGCUUACGACUGACAACAUCCUUAACUUUAUCCUUCCCUUUGAAGAUAAUGGUCUGUUUCCCUGGAAGAUGAAAUGACAACUUCUCAACCGCAGUAGAUCUGUAAUGUAUUGGAAACUUAAAAAUUCUCCAUGAUCCUUCACAAGUUGAAACAUAUCUACAUUGGUCAGAACAAUAUAAGUUAGAAUCUAAGAUUGAAAUAAAUACUACCUCCUGAAAAUAAAAUAUUUAUGGAUCAGUUAAUAAACUACCUGCAAUCAAAGAAAUCCUUUAUUUCAUUUUUUUUAAUCUCCACAGUUUCUUUCAAUAUGUUACCACCAGUCUCCAUGGCAGAGUUUCCUAACGCCGAGUUAGCUGCUACUGAUUUCGCUGCAACUGAGCUCGCUGCGGCCGAGGUCGCUGUAGCUGAGUUCCCUGCAGACGAACUUGGUGCUGUUUGAUUCGCAACAUCUGGCCCUGUUGGUUCAACUACCACAGUUACACGGUCAGCUCCUUUAUUAAUGUAUUUAAAUAAAUACUUAAUGGAACCAACUUGGUUGCACCACUCUACAUUAAUGUGUGCUCGGUACCGAAGAGAGAGUUUCUUGUUAUAAGGGAUGACCCAUCUGUUGUCACAUUUCAAACCAUUCUUCUCAACAUAACUGUUAGAUUGCUCACGUCUUCUGUAAACAGGAAAUCCAUCUUUUUUCACUCUAGUAUCAUCAGCAAAGGGUUUAGGAAAACUUUUCGAGCACUGUCCAUUUUCCAUGCACGGUGAAUUCCUAUUAGCUGCUCCGCACGGACCAUGAAUCAUCAUAUCCUUAACAACAUCGUAGAGAUCUGGAUCAAGCGACUUAUCAGGAAUCUCAGCCGAUAUGAUUUUAUCGAUGUCUUCUGUUUUUGGAAAUUUGGAUGAAGGAUGCAUAAAAAGCAGUAUGUGAGCAUGUGGCAAACCUCUCUUCUGAAACUCAACAGUAUACAUAGCUGAAAUAUAUUAAAAAAAACAGUUGCCAUUAUUGUAAGAAAACGACCAAGUCAGUAUAGAAAUAAUAAGAAAUAUUUUAAGCUAAGAUUGAGUCAAAAACGAACUUACAUGAAGCUGUUUUCCCCAAUAUAUUCUUCUUUGUCAAAUCAUGCAUCAAAGAAUCGAGUUUCAUCUUAAACAUCCGACAUAUAACAUCUAGUCUGUCAUCUGAAUUCAGGCCUCUCUUUUUCAGAAAUCUCGUAAGUUCUGGCCAUUUUGGAUUGCAUGUAAAGGUGAUGACAAGGUCUGGAAAACCAAAAUGUCUACAAAUGGCCAUAGCGUCUAAGUACAUAUUCUUCAUGUAUCUAGGACCCCCUGUGAAAGUAGCUGGUAGCACAAAUUGCUGACCUUGUUCAUUCAUGUCCGACUGUCCAGCAUUUUCAGACUCCUUGAUAGAGUCGUAAAUAUCCGAACGCAAGCAUGUCUGGUUGAGCUGCAGAUACCUAAGUCUGUUGGCUUCUAUAGUCGUAUAUGCAUCAACUAUGAAUUGUUGAAAUAACCUUCUGGAGUAUAGAAGAACAUGUGAUUCAUUUUCUCGCUCUUGCAUCCGGAAAGCAAAAAACUGUCUCAUACUGAUAGUAUCUUUCUUGAGUUUCUUCGACGCUUCUGUGACACCCUUCUUAAUGCCAAUCCUGAAUCCAUCCUCACCAUACACAAAUAGCAGAGGAUACUGGAGUGCUAAAUAGGAAAUAUGAAUCUCAUCGAUCCUUGUAAGUCUACCAGACUUAUGCUGUAGAACAAUAUCCCGCUUAUCCAUUCCUAAAUUAAAAUCUCCAGGAAUCAAUGCAGCAACCUCAGAUGCAGUUGGCAUAUUAUAUGUCCGACCAUCUCUGUCACUUCUACUUACGAUUCGCAUAUGGAAAGUCUCUUCCGGAUUCAUUCGAAAUCUAUCUCUAGCUGAUCGAAACUGCUUAACAUAUGGAUUAACAUCAUUCAACAUCAUCAUUAUAGGCUGAAUAAUUUCUUUCCUCAACCCAUCAAUUGUACUCUCUGUCUGAGUAUUUUUCCCAUUUCUGAAAAACAGUAAAGUAGAUAUAAUAAGUUUAUAUAACACGCAUAUAGUAAUGUUUAAGCACUUAUAUGCAAAAUUAAAUUACUUACCUCAAAGCUUUAGAUCUGUUUUGAAGUUCAUUCUCUGUGUCAACAAUGUAAAGCUGUCCAAACUUGGCAUAAUUUCCUUCAGGUGGGGUUAAACUUCCCAUCAGAUGAUAAUUCUCACCAUGAAGCACCAACAUUUGUGGUCCUCGUCCCUUUCUAACAGACUUAUCUACUUUACCACCAAGUGAAGUGAAUGAAAAAACCAUAUUAUAUGAUCUGGUAUUCUUUUGGAAAUGUUUACUCAGCUUAUCAUUUCCUGUAAGAAGCUUCAUUAGAACAUCCGGGGAUUUCUUUAAUAAGGGCAACUGGACCUGACCUUGCAUGCAACACAAUGUAAAUAUAGGUUUUUUUCUAGAUUUGGUCUUAUUUAUGCGCUCUCCAAACCACAUGAUAGCUCCACAAUGAACACAGGUGUAAGUUGGGUCACCUUCAUCAACAUAAUCUGCUUUAUAAUAAUGUUUAUAGGUUAGAAAAAAUAGUCUACACAGAAACCAUCUAUUGACAAAUUUUAGCUUACCAUAUUCAGAUGAUGACACUGCUUUCACUUUUGGCUUCGGUGGUUUUUUCACCUCAGAGAAGUUUUUUUUAAAUAAAGCUGCUAGAAAGCUAACUCUCUCUGUUUGAUCUUCUUUAUGUGGUUCUUGUACAAUAGACUGUUCGUCAUCUGAAAUUUCAGUAUCCGAACUUUCCUGACUACUACAUUCGACUUCUAGAUCAUCACACUCAUCUAUGGAUCGCAGUAAAUCUGCAAAACAUACACAUGAUAAAAGUAUCUAACGUAUGAAUUUAGUCAGGGACGAAACCACAUAAAGUUCAAAUCAUCCUCUGGAUGGAAAACGGUUUACCUUCAUUCUCUGGAUCAUCUAUAGGAAAAUCAUGUUCUACAUAAGAUGUGUUUGAAAUUCCUAAAUCAAAUGUAGUAUGACUGGUGGAUGUUAUAGGUAUUUUUGUAUUUGGUGUGUUUUCUCUUUGAAAUGUUCCCAAUCUUGAACAUGAUCCUCUUACUAUACCUGAAAUGGGAGUAUUAUAUUAAUAUAUUACAUAAUGAACAAAAAAUUAAUCAUCUAUCAUUGCAGUCUCUGCUAUUAUCAGUAAAUUAGGAUAUAUAAACAGACCUUGAUCUCUUCGACUCUUUUUCUUGUCAUUAGGGUUCUCAUCAGUUUUUUUGUCAAAACAAACUACACCAAAUAAAAUUAGAGAUAUUAGCUGAACGUGAGGAAACCUGGUAUAUAAACAAUGGUCAAUAUAGAAUAUAAAACACCUCGUUUGUUUGUAGGAUUUGACACUGAAACUUGUGUUUUAAACCUUGAUGAAACGCUAUUAUUGGUAAUAUCACUCUUUAAUCUUCCAAAAACUGUACUCAAAGGGACAUCUUUUCUUUGAGAAUGAUCUAUUCUCUGUUUUGAAACAGAUUGGGAACGCAGCCGAUGACCAUCAUCCUCAAACCGAGGUUGAUGCUUUCUUUUCAUCCUCUUCAUUGAAGGGCUAUGUUAGCAGAAACUACACGGUAAGUUCUCAGUUACAUGCACUGGAACUGAGGAAUAGUAUAAUCACCUUUAAAACAAAGUUGCUAGGUAUAAAAUUGUUCAAUGAAUUCUCACAGUCAUUCUGUUGCUAAUAAGAAAAUAAUGGCGUCAAUGUUAAUACAUUGAAACUUUCUAAUUUGUAGUUAGGCGGGAUUUUGAAAAUAAUUGAAAAGAGAAUUAAUUAAGUUAAGAUUCUUUACAUAUGAAAUAUUGUAUAAAAUCUCUUUAGAUCACAUGAAUAUCUAAAUGUAGAUUAGUUGUCGGUUAUAUCUUCACGGAUACGUUUAAUAUCUUUACUUGUUGCAAGUAAUAAUUAUAAUUGAUUAUAACAUAUAUUCGUUUGAGUUACUUUUUUGAGUACUACAAAUUAUUUCUUUAGAUAACUAUAUUAAGUAUUCUAACAACUUCAUUUUUGUUUAGGAUGCAAAUAUAGAUUUAUCAAACAAUCUACUUUGGCUGAUUUACUAAAGGGAGUUCAACAACAGCUUAUUAAAGUAAGUAUAUUUGUUGUUAAAUUUCCGUAUGCUCAUAUAUUUAGUUAAGUGCGUUUUGUGAAAACUUUUAUAAAGAUUACUAAGUUUAAUGCCUUAUUCAUUUUCCCGAUAGUCAGUCAUGUAGAUUAGAUUCACAAAACACAUAUUGUUAUUAUUAAAAAAUCCUCUUUAUUGAUAAAAACCAAACAAUACAGCAUAUGGAAAUAAACCAGAUAAUAGAAAAUUCAAAAAAACAUAGUUUCUGAAAAUAAAACGAUUAUUAAAAGCAAAAACAAAACACGUAGCAUCUCAGUUUUCUCUACCUCUACUUCUUUUCCUGCUUCAUUAUCUUUGAGCAUUGUUUUUUAGAGGUAGAAGAAAGAUCAUCAAUCUCACAUUCUCCCUUUCGUUUUGAUAGUGGAGUUGACGACAAACAUAUGUUCUCUUCACUUUCCAUGCUGAUCAAAGAGACCUUGAAAAUAAUAGAAUAAACUUUUAAUGAAUACGCAUAUAGGUUGUGAAUAAUAAAAUAUCUAAUUAGGAAGAAUAAUGAUAUUUUUAGUAGACCUGUCCUGAGGAACGGUCAGAUAAAGCUCUGUUAGUCAACGUAUCAUCAGUAUUCUCAUCAUCCGAGUGAGUUAUGAUCUCAUCAGCAGACCAUGUUUUCCCAAUGUUAAAUAUAUCAGCUCCAUAGUCAACAUUGUCUUUGCUCACAUAGACACCAAAUUUGAAAGUUUUUCCAAUAAGCUCAUUAAUAGCAGCAGGCAAGUCUUCAGGAUCUUCAACCUAAAUAAAAACAAACACCUACUAUAUUAAAAACGACUAUAUGUAUGCAAUAUACAACAAUUAAAUGGAAAUUUUUACAUACCUCUUCUAGAGAACCAUCUAAGAGCACUUCAGCACUCACUCCCAAAAUUGGUUCAGCAAUAGUAUCAAGCAGCAUCACCUUAGUUUCACCAGUGUCAUCCUUUAUAAGUAGAUGGAGUUUAAACCUGUAAAAAUGUAAAAUUGGUAAGUUAUAUGACUCAGAUACAUAUAUCUAAUACUAUUAAGAUUAAAAAACAUACUGAGGUGCAACAUUGGUUACAGACUGAUGGCAUGAAUCACAAUACCACAGAUGUUUAACAGGAACCACAUCCCUUUUGGUAAUGUCGGUAACCUUUUUGAAGUGGCACUUAACACAACCAAAAUAAAACCAAGCCCAGUCUGUGUCUAUUUCAUAAAUUGUGCCCUUAACAAUGCAGGUUUCAGUCUACAAAAAUAACAUUAGUUUUAGAAUAUAGGUAGAUUAUAACAGUAUAUACCUUAGAUAUACUAAAAACUUACCUCAGUCGCCAUAAUGAUAUCCAGAAUUGAUCUCUCAGGAUAAAUAGACCAUUUAUCAGGUUGGCGUUUGCUUCCUUUAUGUUUUGCAAGCUCAUGACUACCAGUUGUGAGAGCAAGCUCGUUCUUAGGCAACCUGAAUAAGUAAAAAACGGUUUGAGAGAUCAUGUAUAUUUAAUUAGCAAACAUCAAAUAGUUGGUAUGUGAUUAGAAUUAAACAUACACUUGAAGAUAGUCUUGGACAUCAAAUCCGGGUGGAUUUAUUUCGACAGUGGAAGAAUCAAAAGCAUUUGUAACCUGAACUUGUCCUGCAACAAAGAAUAAAAAUUUAUUAAGUAAAUCAAAAGCAUAAUAAAGUAUAUUUUUUUCUCAAUCGAUUAGUCAAAUUCUUACCCUUGUAAACAUUGAUUUUAGCAAAUCUCAGUAAACAGAGAAAAUUCUUAUUGACUUGAGCAACUUUGUAUGCAUAUAGCAUAUGUUCAGCAAACCGGCCCCAAAGACAACAUGCUAUUUGGUGAUCCCUGAAAUAUACAUUAGUAGAUUAACACAUUAAAAACACGAUUUGUUUACAUAUGAAAAGUAUAUUUGCAAAAGGUAAUCUAUAACUUACUCUGUGUCUAUCAAAGUAAACUCUAGCUUCUUUGUUUCUUUACCUUGCACAGGCACAACCUGAAUAUCUCCGAUAUCAAUUGGCUGACCAAUAACGUCUGCAAACAUAUUAUUAAAAAAUAAGAAGAUUAUUAAUCAGAAACCGUAGCAUAUUUGUGAAUAAGAAAACUCUAAAAAUUUACCAAUCAAAAAAUUAGAAUCAAGACUUCCGUUCAUGAUUUCUGUGAAAGAUGUUAAUGACAGAAAAUUAUCCUCAUCUUUGAGGGUGGAAUUGGUGACGUUGGAGUUGCUGAUGAUCGACAUUUUGUACUUAUG